Molecule: long non-coding RNA, 436 nt
Organism: Pseudophryne corroboree (corroboree frog)
Lineage: Eukaryota; Metazoa; Chordata; Amphibia; Anura; Myobatrachidae
Exons: 4
Source: RefSeq, a predicted model, not a curated record
GAGGAGAGGUGCCCCCUUCAGAGCAGGAGCCCGGCGGCAGAUGACUCCGUUGCCUCCCAGAGUUCUGCCUCUGAUCACAGUUAUCCACUGGACUCUGUGAGGAGCACUUAUAUCUCUAAUGUGAGGAGAGGUGCCCCCCUUCAGAGCAGGAGCCCGGCGGCAGAUGACUCCGUUGCCUCCCAGAGUUCUGCCUCUGAUCACAGUUAUCCACUGGACUCUGUGAGGAGCACUUAUAUCUCUAAUGUGAGGAGAGGUGCCCCCCUUCAGAGCAGGAGCCCGGCGGCAGAUGACUCCGUUGCCUCCCAGAGUUCUGCCUCUGAUCACAGUUAUCCACUGGACUCUGUGAGGAGCACUUAUAUCUCUGCGUUUCAGCCCUUAUACACUAUAAGAGGAAAUUGCUUCAUUUUUGCACGUCCAGUGCUAUUUAAUACUGCAU